Molecule: long non-coding RNA, 218 nt
Filed under: Arachis ipaensis
Lineage: Eukaryota; Viridiplantae; Streptophyta; Magnoliopsida; Fabales; Fabaceae
Description: long non-coding RNA (AIPA_LNC000151)
Source: RNAcentral
UCUCGGUUAGGUGGAAAUUCCUCAAUAUCAUCGGGAAACACUUCCGGAAACUCACACACUACCGGAAUCUGAUCCAACUUUUGAUCAUCACCCGAAACACCAGCGGUUAACAACAGGAUACCCUGACAUUCGAUUCCAGAACAGUUCACCAUCAUCGAAUUCAAGUAAUAAUUAUUCACCACGACCGGCCCUUCUGUAUCUUCCGGCAUAAAGUACAC